RNAcentral lists this ribosomal RNA (497 nucleotides) under uncultured bacterium. RNAcentral describes it as "partial 16S ribosomal RNA". It matches the Rfam family "Bacterial small subunit ribosomal RNA", at positions 28 to 507 of the family's 1533-position model. The record is from RNAcentral.
GACGAACGCUGGCGGCGUGCCUAAUACAUGCAAGUAGAACGCUGAAGAGAGGAGCUUGCUCUUCUUGGAUGAGUUGCGAACGGGUGAGUAACGCGUAGGUAACCUGCCUUGUAGCGGGGGAUAACUAUUGGAAACGAUAGCUAAUACCGCAUAACAAUGGAUGACACAUGUCAUUUAUUUGAAAGGGGCAAUUGCUCCACUACAAGAUGGACCUGCGUUGUAUUAGCUAGUAGGUGAGGUAAUGGCUCACCUAGGCGACGAUACAUAGCCGACCUGAGAGGGUGAUCGGCCACACUGGGACUGAGACACGGCCCAGACUCCUGCGGGAGGCAGCAGUAGGGAAUCUUCGGCAAUGGGGGCAACCCUGACCGAGCAACGCCGCGUGAGUGAAGAAGGUUGUCGGAUCGUAAAGCUCUGUUGUAAGUCAAGAACGGGUGUGAGAGUGGAAAGUUCACACUGUGACGGUAGCUUACCAGAAAGGGACGGCUAACUACGUG